CCGGCCGUCUCCAUGGCAACCGGCUGGCCUGGUCCAGAGUUCACCGCCAACCGGAUCCUCCUCGGCCUCCCUCCUCCGCGGGAGGAUGGGCGUCUUGGACUCCCAGCCCUGUGCUCGCCGAGCUUCCAGCUGCCAGGGCGGUGGAAAGUCCUCCGCCCCACCGCGUCCUUAUAUGGGAGCGGUUGAGACCACGGCCUCUUGGGCUCACCUGCCUGGGUUUCAGUCCUAGCUCCACCACUUUCCAGCUGCGGGCUCUUAGGCAGAUUUUAUAAACCAGAGCAGCUGCCUGAAGGUUUCCAAGAAAAAAUUCUGCACAGUUUCUAACCAGGGUGACAGUUCGCCUCCACAGGAAGUUGCUUUUAUUAAUUUUUUUAAUCUCUUUUUUUUUGUAAGGCUCCAUCUAUCGGUCAUCAGGCAGCACCUUCAGCCUUGUGGGCUGUUUUUUGUUCUUCCCCUCCAUUUGCCUGGAAUUCAUGAUGACAUCUAAACCGCAGUGGGCUUGCCCAACGCUGGGGCAAAGAUGGAACUACUGAAAAGUGGGUCACUCAAGUCGCCUGUGCAGAAGAAUCCCAAAUAAUUUAUGGAGAUACUUCUCCCUCCAGGAGGUGGAACAUGACUCCCUGCCCCUGAAGUGAGAGCUAUGCAUAAUGAUUUCUUUGCAUGGAGUACAGUAUGGAAGGGGGCAGGGGAGAGGAACUUCGCAGCGAAGAAACCUGACAAACACUGGCUCAGCCAGAUGGUUUAAGUCAACAUCAAACAGCGAUAAGUCAUGUCUGUAGCACGGACCCUUGAUACAAUGUGAUGAGAACAGCACAUUACCUCCAUGGUCUCCUUCCAAAGACAUUAGGUGAAAACUAAUAAAAUCCAAAUAAACUGUGGAAUUUUGUUAAUGCUAAUGUACCAGGGUUGGUGCCUUACUUGUGAAAGAUGUACCACAAUAAUUUAACAGUAGGAGAAACUGGGUCAGGGGUGAGUGGCAACUCUGUACUAUCUUCAUAACUUUCUUGUACAUCUAAAACUAUUCUAAAAUACAAAGCUUAUUUUUU
This is a long non-coding RNA of Microcebus murinus (gray mouse lemur), 1046 nucleotides long. RefSeq lists it as uncharacterized. Lineage: Eukaryota; Metazoa; Chordata; Mammalia; Primates; Cheirogaleidae. The record is from RefSeq and is a predicted model, not a curated record.